UUACAUAAAGUUCCAGGACAGCCAGAAC
RNAcentral lists this non-coding RNA (28 nucleotides) under Cricetulus griseus (Chinese hamster). The record is from RNAcentral. Lineage: Eukaryota; Metazoa; Chordata; Mammalia; Rodentia; Cricetidae.